AUAUCUUUAAUUGCUCUUUGGCCUUUACAAGCAAGUGUACUAUCUGUCCUUACCGGUUUAAUAUCUGAUGUGUACUCUAUCCUUGGACUACAUACUAAAUGGGCUUUGGGAGCAGGGAGCUGUCAUAGAAGUUUACUCCAUCCACUUCACUCAGUGACCUGGCAUUGUGGUGCUCCCAGGACAGUGUGGCCCUC
Tupaia belangeri (northern tree shrew) is the source of this 194-nucleotide small nuclear RNA. Its record names the gene U2. It matches the Rfam family "U2 spliceosomal RNA". Rfam says of the family: U2 is a small nuclear RNA (snRNA) component of the spliceosome (involved in pre-mRNA splicing). NCBI's taxonomy places the organism in Eukaryota, Metazoa, Chordata, Mammalia, Scandentia, Tupaiidae. The record is from Ensembl.